AUCGAACGCUGGCGGCGGGCCUAACACAUGCAAGUCGAACGAGUAGCGGACGGGUGAGUAAUUUCUUGGAAACUGCCCGAUGUACGGGGCUAAGUACUGUAAACGGUAGCUACUAGCGCAUACGAUCGGAUGUGCUCAGAUUGGAUUAGCUAGUAGGUGUGGUAACGGCUCACUUAGGCGACGAUCCCUAGCUGGGCCGAGAGGAUGACCGGCCACACUGGAACUGAGACACGGUCCAGACUCCUACGGGAGGCAGCAGUGGGGAAUAUGGCACAAUGGGCUCAAGCCGGAUGCAGCCAUGCCGCGUGUAUGAAGAAGGCCUUCGGGUUGUAAAGUACUUUCAGCGAGGAGGCGUUACUCGCAGAAGAAGCACCGGCUAACUCCGUGCCAGCAGCCGCGGUAAUUC
This 406-nucleotide ribosomal RNA is filed under the name uncultured bacterium. RNAcentral describes it as "partial 16S ribosomal RNA". It matches the Rfam family "Bacterial small subunit ribosomal RNA", at positions 30 to 526 of the family's 1533-position model. The record is from RNAcentral.